UACAGAGGGUGCGAGCGUUGUUCGGAAUUACUGGGCGUAAAGCGCGCGCAGGCGGCUCUUUAAGUCCACUGGUCAGAUGCCGGGGCUCAACCCCGUGCCCGCCAGGGAUACUGGAGAGCUGGAGACACGUAGAGGCAAGCGGAAUUCCGGGUGUAGCGGUGGAAUGCGUAGAGAUCCGGAAGAACACCGGAGGCGAAGGCGGCUUGCUGGGCGUAGUCUGACGCUGAGGCGCGAAAGCGUGGGGAGCGAACAGG
RNAcentral lists this ribosomal RNA (254 nucleotides) under uncultured bacterium. RNAcentral's name for it is "partial 16S ribosomal RNA". It matches the Rfam family "Bacterial small subunit ribosomal RNA", at positions 524 to 776 of the family's 1533-position model. The record is from RNAcentral.